Molecule: transfer RNA, 70 nt
Filed under: Cavia porcellus (domestic guinea pig)
Lineage: Eukaryota; Metazoa; Chordata; Mammalia; Rodentia; Caviidae
Rfam family: tRNA
About the family: Transfer RNA (tRNA) molecules are approximately 80 nucleotides in length. Their secondary structure includes four short double-helical elements and three loops (D, anti-codon, and T loops). Further hydrogen bonds mediate the characteristic L-shaped molecular structure. tRNAs have two regions of fundamental functional importance: the anti-codon, which is responsible for specific mRNA codon recognition, and the 3' end, to which the tRNAs corresponding amino acid is attached (by aminoacyl-tRNA synthetases). tRNAs cope with the degeneracy of the genetic code in two manners: having more than one tRNA (with a specific anti-codon) for a particular amino acid; and 'wobble' base-pairing, i.e. permitting non-standard base-pairing at the 3rd anti-codon position.
Source: Rfam by way of RNAcentral
GGGGCUUUAGCUCAGUGGCAUAAGUGCCUGCCUUGCAAGCAGGAGGUCCUGAGUUCGAUCCCCGGUACCA